AGCGAACGCUGGCGGCAGGCUUAACACAUGCAAGUCGAACGGGCUUCUUCGGAAGUCAGUGGCAGACGGGUGAGUAACACGUGGGAACGUGCCCUUCGGUUCGGAAUAACUCAGUGAAACUUGAGCUAAUACCGGAUACGACCCUUUUGGGAAAGGUUUACUGCCGAAGGAUCGGCCCGCGCCUGAUUACCUUGUCGGUGGGGUAACGGCCUACCAAGGCGACGAUCAGUAGCUGGUCUGAGCGGAUGAUCAGCCACGCUGGGGCUGAGACACGGACGAGAAUAUUACGGGAGGCAGCAGAGGGGAAUAUUAGACAAGGGGGGCAGGCAUGAUACAGCCAUGCCGGGUAAGUGAUGAAGGCCUUAGGGAUGUGCAGCAGUUUUGUACGGGACGAUAAUGACGGUACCGGAAGAAUAAGCCCCGGCUAACUUCGUG
RNAcentral lists this ribosomal RNA (435 nucleotides) under uncultured bacterium. RNAcentral describes it as "partial 16S ribosomal RNA". It matches the Rfam family "Bacterial small subunit ribosomal RNA", at positions 29 to 507 of the family's 1533-position model. The record is from RNAcentral.